RNAcentral lists this ribosomal RNA (253 nucleotides) under uncultured bacterium. Its description in RNAcentral is "partial 16S ribosomal RNA". It matches the Rfam family "Bacterial small subunit ribosomal RNA", at positions 524 to 776 of the family's 1533-position model. The record is from RNAcentral.
UACGUAGGGUCCGAGCGUUGUCCGGAGUUACUGGGCGUAAAGGGCGCGUAGGCGGCCCGCUAAGUCGAACGUGAAAUCCCCAGGCUCAACCUGGGAACUGCGUCCGAUACUGGCAGGCUUGAAUCCGGGAGAGGGAUGUGGAAUUCCAGGUGUAGCGGUGAAAUGCGUAGAUAUCUGGAGGAACACCGGUGGCGAAGGCGGCAUCCUGGACCGGUAUUGACGCUGAGGCGCGAAAGCUAGGGGAGCAAACGGG